GGAGUUAGCCGGUGCUUCUUCUGUGAGUGAUGUCCUUCCUGCCGGCUAUUAACCCGCAGGCCUUCUUCCUCACUGAAAGUGCUUUACAACCCGAAGGCCUUCUUCACACACGCGGCAUGGCUGGAUCAGGGUUGCCCCCAUUGUCCAAUAUUCCCCACUGCUGCCUCCCGUAGGAGUCUGGGCCGUGUCUCAGUCCCAGUGUGGCUGAUCAUCCUCUCAGACCAGCUACGGAUCGUCGCCUUGGUGAGCCGUUACCUCACCAACCAGCUAAUCCGACAUAGGCUCAUCCGAUAGCGCGAGGCCCGAAGGUCCCCCGCUUUCCCCCGUAGGGCGUAUGCGGUAUUAGCCUGGGUUUCCCCAGGGUUAUCCCCCACUACCGGGCAGAUUCCUAUGCAUUACUCACCCGUCCGCCGCUCGCCACCAGGGAGCAAGCUCCCCGUGCUGCCGCUCGACUUGCAUGUGUUAGGCCUGCCGCCAGCGUUCAAUCUGAGCCAUGAUCAAACUCUGA
Molecule: ribosomal RNA, 508 nt
Filed under: uncultured bacterium
Lineage: Bacteria
Description: partial 16S ribosomal RNA
Source: RNAcentral